RNAcentral lists this ribosomal RNA (466 nucleotides) under uncultured bacterium. Its description in RNAcentral is "bacterial SSU rRNA". It matches the Rfam family "Bacterial small subunit ribosomal RNA", at positions 28 to 507 of the family's 1533-position model. The record is from RNAcentral.
GACGAACGCUGGCGGCGUGCUUAACACAUGCAAGUCGAACGGUGACGAGGAGCUUGCUCCUCCGAUCAGUGGCGAACGGGUGAGUAACACGUGAGCAACCUGCCCCAGACUCUGGGAUAACAGUUGGAAACAGCUGCUAAUACCGGAUACGAGACGGAGAGGCAUCUCUACCGUCUGGAAAGUUUUUCGGUCUGGGAUGGACUCGCGGCCUAUCAGCUUGUUGGUGAGGUAAAGGCUCACCAAGGCGACGACGGGUAGCCGGCCUGAGAGGGCGACCGGCCACACUGGGACUGAGACACGGCCCAGACUCCUACGGGAGGCAGCAGUGGGGAAUAUUGCACAAUGGGCGAAAGCCUGAUGCAGCGACGCCGCGUGAGGGAUGACGGCCUUCGGGUUGUAAACCUCUUUCAGCAGGGAAGAAGCGAAAGUGACGGUACCUGCAGAAGAAGCACCGGCUAACUACGUG